Molecule: transfer RNA, 73 nt
Filed under: uncultured gamma proteobacterium HF4000_06A21
Lineage: Bacteria; Pseudomonadati; Pseudomonadota; Gammaproteobacteria
Description: tRNA-Ala
Rfam family: tRNA
About the family: Transfer RNA (tRNA) molecules are approximately 80 nucleotides in length. Their secondary structure includes four short double-helical elements and three loops (D, anti-codon, and T loops).
Source: RNAcentral
GGGGCCAUAGCUCAGCCGGGAGAGCGCCUGCUUUGCAAGCAGGAGGUCGGCGGUUCGAUCCCGCCUGGCUCCA